UACGUAGGGUGCAAGCGUUGUCCGGAAUUAUUGGGCGUAAAGAGCUCGUAGGCGGUGCGGUAAGUCUGCGGUGAAAUCUCCCGGCUCAACUGGGAGGCUGCCGUGGAAACUGCCGGGCUUGAGUAUGGGAGAGGUGAGUGGAAUUUCCGGUGUAGCGGUGAAAUGCGUAGAUAUCGGAAGGAACACCUGUGGCGAAAGCGGCUCACUGGACCAUUACUGACGCUGAGGCACGAAAGCGUGGGUAGCAAACAGG
This 253-nucleotide ribosomal RNA is filed under the name uncultured bacterium. RNAcentral describes it as "partial 16S ribosomal RNA". It matches the Rfam family "Bacterial small subunit ribosomal RNA", at positions 524 to 776 of the family's 1533-position model. The record is from RNAcentral.